UGGGGAAUUUUGGACAAUGGGCGAAAGCCUGAUCCAGCAAUGCCGCGUGUGUGAAGAAGGCCUUCGGGUUGUAAAGCACUUUUGUCCGGAAAGAAAUCCUUGGCUCUAAUACAGUCGGGGGAUGACGGUACCGGAAGAAUAAGCACCGGCUAACUACGUGCCAGCAGCCGCGGUAAUACGUAGGGUGCAAGCGUUAAUCGGAAUUACUGGGCGUAAAGCGUGCGCAGGCGGUUUGCUAAGACCGAUGUGAAAUCCCCGGGCUCAACCUGGGAACUGCAUUGGUGACUGGCAGGCUAGAGUAUGGCAGAGGGGGGUAGAAUUCCACGUGUAGCAGUGAAAUGCGUAGAGAUGUGGAGGAAUACCGAUGGCGAAGGCAGCCCCCUGGGCCAAUACUGACGCCCAUGCACGAAAGCGUGGGGGAGCAAAACAGGAUUCAGAUACCCUGGUAGUCCACGCCCUAAACGAUGUCAACUAGUUGUUGGGGAUUCAUUUCCUUAGUAACGUAGCUAACGCGUGAAGUUGACCGCCUGGGGAGUACGGUCG
This 543-nucleotide ribosomal RNA is filed under the name uncultured bacterium. RNAcentral's name for it is "partial 16S ribosomal RNA". It matches the Rfam family "Bacterial small subunit ribosomal RNA", at positions 355 to 888 of the family's 1533-position model. The record is from RNAcentral.